GACGAACGCUGGCGGCGUGCUUAACACAUGCAAGUCGAACGGGCCGGCCCUGCUGUUGUGGGGUGGUCGGGUGGCGAACGGGUGAGUGACAAGUGAGUAACCUGCCCUUGACUUUGGGAUGACUUCAGGAAACUGGGGGUAAUACCGGAUAGGAGCUCCUGCUGCAUGGUGGGGGUUGGGAAGUUUCGGCGGUUGGGGGUGGGCUGGCGGCUUGUCGGCUUGUUGGUGGGGUAGUGGCUUACCAGGGCUUCGACGGGUAGCCGGCCUGCGGGGGUGACCGGCGACAUUGGGACUGAGCUACUGCGCGGACCCCUACGGGAGGCAGCAGUGGGGAAUGUUGAAGAAUGGGCGGAAGCCGGAGGCAGCAACGCCGCGUGCGGGAUGACGGCAUCCGGUUUGUAACGCGCUUUCGCCGGGGACGAAGCGUGAGUGACGGUAAUGGGUAAAGAAGCACCGGCUAACUACGUG
RNAcentral lists this ribosomal RNA (468 nucleotides) under uncultured bacterium. Its description in RNAcentral is "partial 16S ribosomal RNA". It matches the Rfam family "Bacterial small subunit ribosomal RNA", at positions 28 to 507 of the family's 1533-position model. The record is from RNAcentral.